RNAcentral lists this ribosomal RNA (266 nucleotides) under Elseya novaeguineae (New Guinea snapping turtle). RNAcentral's name for it is "partial 12S ribosomal RNA". Lineage: Eukaryota; Metazoa; Chordata; Testudines; Chelidae. The record is from RNAcentral.
ACAAACCAAAUGUUUGAAACUCAAAGGACUUGGCGGUGUCCCAAACCCACCUAGAGGAGCCUGUUCUAUAAUCGAUAAUCCACGAUCUACCUCACCACCUCUUGCCCACAGCCUAUAUACCUCCGUCCACAGCUUACCCUACUAAGGAACAAAAGUAAGCACAACAGCUUAUACAGCUAAUAAGUCAGGUCAAGGUGUAGCCAAUUGAGAUGGAAGAAAUGGGCUACAUUUUCUACACUAGAAAUAUUAACGGAAAGAGCCCUGAA